Molecule: non-coding RNA, 89 nt
Filed under: Stenotrophomonas sp. BIIR7
Lineage: Bacteria; Pseudomonadati; Pseudomonadota; Gammaproteobacteria; Lysobacterales; Lysobacteraceae
Description: sRNA-Xcc1
Rfam family: sRNA-Xcc1
Source: Rfam by way of RNAcentral
GUCGGGAGGGCGGCUAAUACAAGACCCUCCACGGGGGAAUACGCCCGCCGAUCGGUUGCUUUCGGUUUUUGACCUCCCGACGCCCUCGC